RNAcentral lists this ribosomal RNA (275 nucleotides) under uncultured prokaryote. RNAcentral describes it as "partial 16S ribosomal RNA". It matches the Rfam family "Bacterial small subunit ribosomal RNA", at positions 524 to 798 of the family's 1533-position model. The record is from RNAcentral.
UACGGAGGAUCCGAGCGUUAUCCGGAUUUAUUGGGUUUAAAGGGUGCGCAGGCGGGAGAUUAAGUCGGCGGUGAAAUUUUGCAGCUCAACUGUAAAAGUGCCUUCGAAACUGGUUUCCUUGAGUGUAGAUGAAGUAGGCGGAAUUUGUGGUGUAGCGGUGAAAUGCAUAGAUAUCACGAGGAACUCCGAUUGCGAAGGCAGCUUACUAAACUACUACUGACGCUCAGGCACGAAGGCGUGGGGAUCAAACAGGAUUAGAUACCCGGGUAGUCCCU